Molecule: ribosomal RNA, 492 nt
Filed under: uncultured bacterium
Lineage: Bacteria
Description: partial 16S ribosomal RNA
Rfam family: Bacterial small subunit ribosomal RNA
Source: RNAcentral
AGUGAACGCUGGCGGUAGGCCUAACACAUGCAAGUCGAACGGCAGCACAGUAAGAGCUUGCUCUUACGGGUGGCGAGUGGCGGACGGGUGAGGAAUACAUCGGAAUCUACUUUUUCGUGGGGGAUAACGUAGGGAAACUUACGCUAAUACCGCAUAAGACCUACGGGUGAAAGCAGGGGAUCUUCGGACCUUGCGCGAUUGAAUGAGCCGAUGUCGUAUUAGCUAGUUGGCGGGGUAAAGGCCCACCAAGGCGACGAUCCGUAGCUGGUCUGAGAGGAUGAUCAGCCACACUGGAACUGAGACACGGUCCAGACUCCUACGGGAGGCAGCAGUGGGGAAUAUUGGACAAUGGGCGCAAGCCUAAUCCAGCCAUACCGCGUGGGUGAAGAAGGCCUUCGGGUUGUAAAGCCCUUUUGUUGGGAAAGAAAAGCAGCAGGUUAAUACCCCGCUGUUCUGACGGUACCCAAAGAAUAAGCACCGGCUAACUUCGUG